UACAGAGGUCUCAAGCGUUGUUCGGAUUCACUGGGCGUAAAGGGUGCGUAGGUGGUGAGGUAAGUCGGAUGUGAAAGCUCCGAGCUCAACUCGGAAAUGGCAUUGGAAACUACCUUGCUAGAGGGUUUGAGGGGGGACUGGAAUACUUGGUGUAGCAGUGAAAUGCGUAGAUAUCAAGUGGAACACCAGUGGCGAAGGCGAGUCCCUGGAAAACUCCUGACACUGAGGCACGAAAGCUAGGGGAGCAAACAGG
This 253-nucleotide ribosomal RNA is filed under the name uncultured bacterium. RNAcentral's name for it is "partial 16S ribosomal RNA". It matches the Rfam family "Bacterial small subunit ribosomal RNA", at positions 524 to 776 of the family's 1533-position model. The record is from RNAcentral.